RNAcentral lists this ribosomal RNA (506 nucleotides) under uncultured bacterium. RNAcentral describes it as "partial 16S ribosomal RNA". It matches the Rfam family "Bacterial small subunit ribosomal RNA", at positions 28 to 523 of the family's 1533-position model. The record is from RNAcentral.
GAUGAACGCUAGCUACAGGCUUAACACAUGCAAGUCGAGGGGUAUCAAGAGAAAAGCUUGCUUUUCUUGUUGACGACCGGCGCACGGGUGAGUAACGCGUAUCCAACCUGCCUAUAACUAGGGAAUAACCUUGCGAAAGUAAGACUAAUACCCUAUGAUUUCCUUUGAUGGCAUCAGAUUAGGAAUAAAGAUUUAUCGGUUAUAGAUGGGGAUGCGUCUGAUUAGCUUGUUGGCGGGGUAACGGCCCACCAAGGCAACGAUCAGUAGGGGUUCUGAGAGGAAGGUCCCCCACAUUGGAACUGAGACACGGUCCAAACUCCCACGGGAGGCAGCAGUGAGGAAUAUUGGUCAAUGGGCGGAAGCCUGAACCAGCCAAGUAGUGUGCAGGAUGACGGCCCUAUGGGUUGUAAACUGCUUUUAUACAGGAAUAAAGUUAGCCACGUGUGGUUAUUUGUAGGUACUGUAUGAAUAAGGACCGGCUAAUUCCGUGCCAGCCGCCGCUGUAA